Molecule: long non-coding RNA, 1725 nt
Organism: Ictidomys tridecemlineatus (thirteen-lined ground squirrel)
Lineage: Eukaryota; Metazoa; Chordata; Mammalia; Rodentia; Sciuridae
Source: RefSeq, a predicted model, not a curated record
CAGGGCGCGCCAAGCAGAGCGGCUGCUAUUGGCCGCGGCCCAAAGGGGCCGGCUCGCUGCCAUUGCUCCGAGGCGCUGUCCGUCUGCGAGGGUACUGGUGGGACGUGAGGCUUCCAUUUGUCACGUCCGGCACGCUGCGAGCUGCGGGGAACCUUCCUGACUAGGGGCGGAGCGAGAGGCGGCAUCUAGCGACCUGCAGAAUGAAUGAUCCAAGACAUAGAACAAGAAAGAAGCUACAAGCCACAAGCCGGAUGCAAUGACACACACAUCUGUAAUCCUAGCAGCUCAGGAGGCUGAGGCAGGAGGAUCGCGAGUUCAAAGCCAACAGCAGCAAAAGCAAGGUGCUAAGCAACUCAUUGAGAUUCUGUCUCUAAAUAAAAUACAAAAUAGGCUCAGUGGUCAAGUGCCUCUGAGUUCAAUCCCUGGGGGGGAAAAGGGGGGAAAAAAGCUACAAUAUCUUUUAUGACCUAUUUUAAGAUGUCACACAAAAUCAUUUCAGUCAUAUUUUAUUCAUCAGAUAUACUUAUCCUUAAGUCUAGUCCACACUUGGGAGGGGUAUGUGGUUUCACCUCUUGAAGGAAAAUGUAUGAAAAAUUUUGUGGACUUUUUAAAAGUUUUUAAUUUUUUCUUAUGUAAAACCACAUACACUUUUCCUGGCUCUUCUUUUGCUGAAGACUAGGCCAGAUGGUGUCUGACAUCACAUAUUCCUUAUCAUGAAGAGAUGCAUGUAACUGAGGAAUAAUGAAAAGAGUAGAUUUCUUCCACUCUGAAGAUUGCCUAUACUUCUACCCAUGUCUUGUCUAUGCUAAUAUUUUUAUGGAAUUAUAAAAAUUUGCAAUAAGUAGAAAUCCUGAAAGUCUCACAUACAAACAACUACCUUCUAUACUAUAAAAAUGCCUUUGAAGGCUUCUAGCUUCUAUUUCAGUGUUCAAUGAUGAAUGGCUACAUUAAAGGGAACUUAGUUACAUUGUUAGAUAAAUAUAAUUAUUAGGAAAUCUUUAUAUUAAAGAGUUGUAAUUAGCAAAAUCCCAGAUGUUGGAAACUCUGUAGAAUGAGCUAGUUCUUUCAAUAAAUGCCAAGAAAAGGAAGAGAUGGGUGAACCUAUAGAUUUAAAGAAACAAGAGACAUUUCAAACAAGUACAAUGAGUGGUCCUUGUUAGAAUUCAUACAAACCAACUGUAAACACAUAUGUACAUAUGCAUACACAUUUAUGGAACAACCUGAAAAUUUUGAACAAGAACUUACUAGAUAUUUGUUGGUCAUAUGGUAUUUGAUAAAAAUUUCUAGAUAUGAUAAAAGAUCUUUUGAAGAGGUCUUACCCUAUCUACUAAAAUGAUUUUUUGAUUUGUUUGUCUUUGGUGCCAGGGUUUGAACUUGGGGUCUUGUACAUGCUCACAUUUACUUUAGUACUAUACUGAAAUGUUUUUAACUUUCUUUUGAAAAUGUUUUCAAAUUUACAGAAAAAAUUGAAAAAUAAUACAAAGAACUCCCAUAUAUCUUUGGUUCAAAUGUAUUAGUUGUUAAUAUUUUGAUGCAUUUAUUUUAUUAUAUAUCCUGACACUAGAUAGAUAGAUAAAGCUGGGAAUAUGGCUCAGCCAUUAAGUGCCUGCCUAGUGUACAUGAUGCCCUGAGUUCAUUCUCUAGUACUGCCAAAAAAAAAAAGCCAUUCUAAGUAGAUGAUUGAUAGAUAGAUAUUCCAAUGCCAUUACUCCUUUACCUAUGAUA